This 252-nucleotide ribosomal RNA is filed under the name uncultured bacterium. RNAcentral describes it as "partial 16S ribosomal RNA". It matches the Rfam family "Bacterial small subunit ribosomal RNA", at positions 524 to 776 of the family's 1533-position model. The record is from RNAcentral.
UACGGAGGAUGCGAGCGUUAUCCGGAUUUAUUGGGUUUAAAGGGUGUGUAGGCGGACGCUUAAGUCAGCGGUAAAAUUGCGGGGCUCAACCUCGUCGAGCCGUUGAAACUGGGUGCCUUGAGUGGGCGAGAAGUACGCGGAAUGCGUGGUGUAGCGGUGAAAUGCAUAGAUAUCACGCAGAACUCCGAUUGCGAAGGCAGCGUACCGGCGCCCAACUGACGCUGAAGCACGAAGGCGUGGGUAUCGAACAGG